AGGAUAGCUUCAGUGAACAUUCAACGCUGUCGGUGAGUUUGGAAUCGAGAGCAAACCAUCGACCGUUGACUGUACCUUGAGGUUUAUCACUGAC
MicroRNA precursor from Anolis carolinensis (green anole), 94 nucleotides. Ensembl annotates it as aca-mir-181a-2. Its record names the gene aca-mir-181a-2. NCBI's taxonomy places the organism in Eukaryota, Metazoa, Chordata, Lepidosauria, Squamata, Anolidae. The record is from Ensembl.